RNAcentral lists this ribosomal RNA (549 nucleotides) under uncultured Glomus. RNAcentral describes it as "SSU rRNA". It matches the Rfam family "Eukaryotic small subunit ribosomal RNA", at positions 548 to 1098 of the family's 1831-position model. The record is from RNAcentral. Lineage: Eukaryota; Fungi; Glomeromycota; Glomeromycetes; Glomerales; Glomeraceae.
UUGGAGGGCAAGUCUGGUGCCAGCAGCUGCGGUAAUUCCAGCUCCAAUAGCGUAUAUUAAAGUUGUUGCAAUUAAAAAGCUCGUAGUUGAAUUUCGGGGUUAGUAGGUUGGUCGUGUCUCAGGUAUAUACUGAUCUCACUGAUUCCUCCUUUCUGAUGAACUGUAAUGCCAUUAAUUUGGUAUUAUGGGGAAACUGAACUGUUACUUUAAAAAAAUUAGAGUAUUUAAAGCAGGCUAACGCUUGAAUACAUUAGUAUGGAAUAAUGAAAUAGGACGUUCGAUCCUAUUUUAUUGGUUUCUAGGAUUGAUGUAAUGAUUAAUAGGGAUAGUUGGGGGCAUUAGUAUUCAAUUGUCAGAGGUGAAAUUCUUGGAUUUAUUGAAGACUAACUACUGCGAAAGCAUUUGCCAAGGAUGUUUUCAUUAAUCAAGAACGAAAGUUAGGGGAUCGAAGACGAUCAGAUACCGUCGUAGUCUUAACCAUAAACUAUGCCGACUAGGGAUCGGAUGAUGUUAAUUUUUUAAUGACUCAUUCGGCGCCUUACGGGAAAC